GCUUUGCUAUCACAGCAGACCCUCCCUCCCAGACCCUCCCACCUCCUGGCCAGCAUCCAUGUUGAAGCUGCCUUCAACAUGGAUGCUGUCCAGGAGGUGGGAGGGUCUGGGAGGGAGGGUCUGCUGAAGAUUGGCC
This 136-nucleotide microRNA precursor is filed under the name Pelobates cultripes (western spadefoot toad). Lineage: Eukaryota; Metazoa; Chordata; Amphibia; Anura; Pelobatidae. The record is from RNAcentral.